This 510-nucleotide ribosomal RNA is filed under the name Pediococcus acidilactici. Its description in RNAcentral is "bacterial SSU rRNA". It matches the Rfam family "Bacterial small subunit ribosomal RNA", at positions 928 to 1439 of the family's 1533-position model. Lineage: Bacteria; Bacillati; Bacillota; Bacilli; Lactobacillales; Lactobacillaceae. The record is from RNAcentral.
AGCGGUGGAGCAUGUGGUUUAAUUCGAAGCUACGCGAAGAACCUUACCAGGUCUUGACAUCUUCUGCCAACCUAAGAGAUUAGGCGUUCCCUUCGGGGACAGAAUGACAGGUGGUGCAUGGUUGUCGUCAGCUCGUGUCGUGAGAUGUUGGGUUAAGUCCCGCAACGAGCGCAACCCUUAUUACUAGUUGCCAGCAUUCAGUUGGGCACUCUAGUGAGACUGCCGGUGACAAACCGGAGGAAGGUGGGGACGACGUCAAAUCAUCAUGCCCCUUAUGACCUGGGCUACACACGUGCUACAAUGGAUGGUACAACGAGUCGCGAAACCGCGAGGUUUAGCUAAUCUCUUAAAACCAUUCUCAGUUCGGACUGUAGGCUGCAACUCGCCUACACGAAGUCGGAAUCGCUAGUAAUCGCGGAUCAGCAUGCCGCGGUGAAUACGUUCCCGGGCCUUGUACACACCGCCCGUCACACCAUGAGAGUUUGUAUCACCCAAAGCCGGUGGGGUAAC